UACGGAGGGGGCUAGCGUUUUUCAGAUUUACUGGGCGUAAAGGGCGCGUAGGCGGACCAUCAAGUCAGGGGUGAAAGGCCUGGGCUCAACCCGGGAAUUGCCUUUGAAACUGAAGGUCUAGAGUCCGAGAGAGGUUAGCGGAAUUCCCAGUGUAGAGGUGAAAUUCGUAGAUAUUGGGAAGAACACCAGUGGCGAAGGCGGCUAUCUGGCUCGGUACUGACGCUGAGGCGCGAAAGCGUGGGGAGCAAACAGG
RNAcentral lists this ribosomal RNA (253 nucleotides) under uncultured bacterium. Its description in RNAcentral is "partial 16S ribosomal RNA". It matches the Rfam family "Bacterial small subunit ribosomal RNA", at positions 524 to 776 of the family's 1533-position model. The record is from RNAcentral.